UACGUAGGGUGCGAGCGUUAAUCGGAAUUACUGGGCGUAAAGCGCGCGUAGGUGGUUCGUUAAGUUGGAUGUGGAAUCCCCGGGCUCAACCUGGGAACUGCAUUCAAAACUGUCGAGCUAGAGUAUGGUAGAGGGUGGUGGAAUUUCCUGUGUAGCGGUGAAAUGCGUAGAUAUAGGAAGGAACACCAGUGGCGAAGGCGACCACCUGGACUGAUACUGACACUGAGGUGCGAAAGCGUGGGGAGCAAACAGG
Molecule: ribosomal RNA, 253 nt
Filed under: uncultured prokaryote
Description: partial 16S ribosomal RNA
Rfam family: Bacterial small subunit ribosomal RNA
Source: RNAcentral